GACGAACGCUGGCGGCGUGCUUAACACAUGCAAGUCGAACGGAAAGGCCCUGCUUUUGUGGGGUGCUCGAGUGGCGAACGAGUGAGUAACACGUGAGUAACCUGCCCUUGACUUUGGGAUAACUUCAGGAAACUGGGGCUAAUACCGGAUAGGAGCUCCUGCUGCAUGGUGGGGGUUGGAAAGUUUCGGCGGUUGGGGAUGGACUCGCGGCUUAUCAGCUUGUUGGUGGGGUAGUGGCUUACCAAGGCUUUGACGGGUAGCCGGCCUGAGAGGGUGACCGGCCACAUUGGGACUGAGAUACGGCCCAGACUCCUACGGGAGGCAGCAGUGGGGAAUAUUGCACAAUGGGCGGAAGCCUGAUGCAGCAACGCCGCGUGCGGGAUGACGGCCUUCGGGUUGUAAACCGCUUUCGCCUGUGACGAAGCGUGAGUGACGGUAAUGGGUAAAGAAGCACCGGCUAACUACGUGCCAGCAGCCGCGGUGAUACGUAGGGUGCGAGCGUUGUCCGGAUUUAUUGGGCGUAAAGGGCUCGUAGGUGGUUGAUCGCGUCGGAAGUGUAAUCUUGGGGCUUAACCCUGAGCGUGCUUUCGAUACGGGUUGACUUGAGGAAGGUAGGGGAGAAUGGAAUUCCUGGUGGAGCGGUGGAAUGCGCAGAUAUCAGGAGGAACACCAGUGGCGAAGGCGGUUCUCUGGGCCUUUCCUGACGCUGAGGAGCGAAAGCGUGGGGAGCGAACAGGCUUAGAUACCCUGGUAGUCCACGCUGUAAACGGUGGGUACUAGGUGUGGGGUCCAUUCCACGGGUUCCGUGCCGUAGCUAACGCUUUAAGUACCCCGCCUGGGGAGUACGGCCGCAAGGCUAAAACUCAAAGGAAUUGACGGGGCCCCGCACAAGCGGCGGAGCAUGCGGAUUAAUUCGAUGCAACGCGUAGAACCUUACCUGGGUUUGACAUGGAUCGGGAGUGCUCAGAGAUGGGUGUGCCUCUUUUGGGGUCGGUUCACAGGUGGUGCAUGGCUGUCGUCAGCUCGUGUCGUGAGAUGUUGGGUUAAGUCCCGCAACGAGCGCAACCCUUGUACACUGUUGCCAGCACGUUAUGGUGGGGACUCAGUGGAGACCGCCGGGGUCAACUCGGAGGAAGGUGGGGAUGACGUCAAGUCAUCAUGCCCCUUAUGUCCAGGGCUUCACGCAUGCUACAAUGGCUGGUACAGAGAGUGGCGAGCCUGUGAGGGUGAGCGAAUCUCGGAAAGCCGGUCUCAGUUCGGAUUGGGGUCUGCAACUCGACCUCAUGAAGUCGGAGUCGCUAGUAAUCGCAGAUCAGCAACGCUGCGGUGAAUACGUUCCCGGG
This 1343-nucleotide ribosomal RNA is filed under the name uncultured bacterium. Its description in RNAcentral is "16S ribosomal RNA". It matches the Rfam family "Bacterial small subunit ribosomal RNA", at positions 28 to 1378 of the family's 1533-position model. The record is from RNAcentral.